This 220-nucleotide unclassified non-coding RNA is filed under the name Hevea brasiliensis (rubber tree). The record is from RNAcentral. Lineage: Eukaryota; Viridiplantae; Streptophyta; Magnoliopsida; Malpighiales; Euphorbiaceae.
UUAUUUGAUCAAAUUUAAAUGGGAAUUUUAGCACAUGCACAAUGAUAAUCGCUGUCUACAAUUUAAGAGUCCAUAAUUUAUAACAUAAAACUAUAUAACAUAAUAAGAAAUAUUCUUCUAUUAUAAAACAUCUUUCUCAGUAGCUAAAUGAUAAUUCCAUAUUUAUCAAAAUAUGUCAUGGUGAUUUUUUUACUUAUUUUUAGAACAUAUAUCAUUUUUA